Dicentrarchus labrax (European seabass) is the source of this 1025-nucleotide non-coding RNA. NCBI's taxonomy places the organism in Eukaryota, Metazoa, Chordata, Actinopteri, Moronidae. The record is from the annotation of a RefSeq genome assembly.
UUUAAGAUGAACCACUGAGACAAGUGUGUGCAGUCUGUCUGACAGUGAGAUUAAUCAUCAUGAUGAUGUUACUGAUUCCACUGCUGACCACGCUGCUGUUAGGACUUCAAGGAUCAGAUGCCAAUCCAUCUGUGACUCAGUCUCCUGUAUCAAAGUCUGUUGGUGUGGGACAGACGGUCUCUCUGAGCUGUACAGCCAGUACAGGAGUUGAUGAUGAUCUCAGUUGGUACCUGCAGAAACCUGGACAGCCUACCAAACUGUUGUUUUACAAAAUAAGUAGCCAUCAGUCUGGUACUCCGAGUCGUUUCAGCAGCAGUGGAUCUGAACCUGAAUUCACUCUGACAAUCAGUGGGGUUCAGGCUGAGGAUGCAGGAGACUACUACUGUAUGGGAGCAUAUACGAGUGGGUCUACUUUUGGUGGAGGAACCAAACUCAUCAUACACUCGGGCCCCAUGGUCAGGCCCUCAGUCUCUCUGCUUCCCCCCUCCUCUGAGCAGCUCUCUGGGGGCUCGGCCACGCUGGCCUGCCUGCUGACCGGCUACUCUCCUCAGGGAGCCGUGGUGAGCUGGGAGGUGGACGGUACGGAGGUGACAGAGGGGGUCCAGACCAGCUCAGAGGAGGAGAAGAGCGGACGCUACAGCAGCAGCAGCACCCUGAGCCUGAGCCAGGAGCGCUGGAUGAAAGGAGAGCUGUACUCCUGCAAGGUCCUCCAUCAUGACCACAGCCAGACCCAGUCCCUCCACAGGAGCCAGUGUGAGGGCUAGAGGGGCUCCCUGAAGCCCAGGACAGGAGCUCUGUGUGGGGGGAGCAGGAGGAACAAACCUGCUGCUCUGAUCAAUAUGAGUUUUAAUGUUUGUAGAGGAAAGUAAAGCUUUGUGUGACAGAGAACAACACUGCUGUAAAGUGUUGGACAACAACAACUUAGAGAGUAAUGUGUGUAGCUCAGCAGCUAGAUGUGAGUGUGCUUAAUAACUGUCAUGUUGAUGAUUGAUGUUUUUGCUAAUAAAGCUUGAACUGAUAAAUAA